Molecule: transfer RNA, 73 nt
Filed under: Candidatus Blochmannia vicinus (nom. nud.)
Lineage: Bacteria; Pseudomonadati; Pseudomonadota; Gammaproteobacteria; Enterobacterales; Enterobacteriaceae
Description: Candidatus Blochmannia vicinus tRNA-Val
Rfam family: tRNA
About the family: Transfer RNA (tRNA) molecules are approximately 80 nucleotides in length. Their secondary structure includes four short double-helical elements and three loops (D, anti-codon, and T loops).
Source: RNAcentral
AGGUGAUUAGCUCAGAUGGCAGAGCAUCUCCCUUACAAGGAGAGGGUCGGCGGUUCAAAUCCGCCAUCACCUA